This 75-nucleotide transfer RNA is filed under the name Gemmatimonadota bacterium. RNAcentral's name for it is "Gemmatimonadetes bacterium tRNA-Pro". The stretch from base 2 to 68 matches the Rfam family "tRNA", at positions 10 to 63 of the family's 71-position model. Rfam says of the family: Transfer RNA (tRNA) molecules are approximately 80 nucleotides in length. Lineage: Bacteria; Pseudomonadati; Gemmatimonadota. The record is from RNAcentral.
GGCGCAGUUGCGGUAGCCCGGUUAGCGCGCCUGGUUCGGGACCAGGAGGUCGGAGGUUCAAAUCCUCUCGCCCCG